Molecule: long non-coding RNA, 1324 nt
Organism: Peromyscus eremicus (cactus mouse)
Lineage: Eukaryota; Metazoa; Chordata; Mammalia; Rodentia; Cricetidae
Exons: 5
Source: RefSeq, a predicted model, not a curated record
UGGGUUAUACUUCCUGUGUACCUCAAUGGAAGCUGCAUUAGCCAACAAUGUUCCAGGUCAACAAGGUAUGAAAUGUCACCUUCUCCUUCAGCCACCUGCUUGCCCUUGCCCACCCUAAGUGUCACAGUGUGAACUUACAGAGGGGCCCACUUUUUCCAGCACUACCCAGGAAGACCAAUGGAGAGUGAGGACAUUGUGGCCUGUUCAUAUUUCCAAUGUAAGAAAGAACCAACCCUCAGAACAGCUUUCUCUUCAAAGAGCUGGCCUGAUCUUUGGAAGUGGUAGAUUUAGGGCCACUGGGUACUAAGUGUUGUUCUGGAAUGAGCAGCACUGGCCUGCUAAUGGGGACACACAGGCAAUCACAGAGGGUGAGCCUCAGGCUGAUGCUGGCACCACUAGGGGCAGUGGUGAUUUUUCAGCAACACCUGAGAGUAUUUGGGACCUUGGAGUAGAGUAUUCACCCGGAUUUGGCCAGAGGUGAGCAGUAGAAGUAGAAAUGGGCAGGUGAGUAGGAGGGCCAAUGAUCCACAUAAGAAAAGGAAGACGAUGCCAGGGCCUUUUCUACUGGGGCCCCUCUGGUCACCUGGCCUCCCUGUCUACAUUCCCACCUUUCCAGUGGCCUUUGCAGCAUUUAGUCUGUAGCUAUCUUCAUCUGGUCCCCCAAACUUUUAUCUUCAAGACUGCUUCUCCCUACUUGCAGUCUACCCUCUCUCUGCCUCUUGGUCUCUUCCCCUCUCUCUAGCUGCCCGUUUUUGUGUGUGCAUCUAGCCAACACCAAUCAACAAGCUCUCCAGGGGCAGGUGUAGAGCCUCUUCUCUUGGAUGUGGCCUCCAGGAGCAGCUGUGUCCCUGCGGUACCUACAGCUUUGAAGCCCAAGCAAGCCACAAAGAAUUGAUGAAGAGUGAAACUGUGUCCAAGGCAAUUGAGCAAACACUCUCUGUAUAGAGUCAUCCCAGCCCACUAGUAACAGCUGAAGGAAGACAGAACGAGUUUAGAGAUGUACAUCAAGGCUUCUCCCACCUCACAUGCCUCCAAAGCAUUCCUCGGCUUCCAGGGAAGAGCAUGAGAGUCAUGGUGAACACUGAUAAUUAAAGUCAACAUCUCAGCACAUUGAGUCAAUUUCUUGAAAAAAAAUUUUUCAGCACCAGGAACCUCCAAUACCAUAGUCCUCUCUUGGUCCUGACCUGACCAUUUUCCAAGUGAUGCAGGAGAGUCUUUCAGCCCCAAUGUCUAGAAGCAGCAAAGAAGCAACUGACCUGCCUAUGACAAAGACAAAGAGCAGAGCAGAAGGAAAAUUUAGAGCAUUUUAUUUUCAUUAAAACAU